RNAcentral lists this ribosomal RNA (328 nucleotides) under uncultured eukaryote. Its description in RNAcentral is "partial 18S ribosomal RNA". It matches the Rfam family "Eukaryotic small subunit ribosomal RNA", at positions 1470 to 1796 of the family's 1831-position model. The record is from RNAcentral.
CCCUUAGAUGUUCUGGGCCGCACGCGCGCUACACUGAUGAAUGCAACGAGCUCUACCCUUGACCGAAAGGCCCGGGUAAACUUGUGAAACUUCAUCGUGAUGGGGAUAGAUUAUUGCAAUUAUUAAUCUUCAACGAGGAAUUCCUAGUAAGCGCGAGUCAUCAGCUCGCGUUGAUUACGUCCCUGCCCUUUGUACACACCGCCCGUCGCUCCUACCGAUUGAAUGUGUUGGUGAGGAGCUCGGAUUGGCAGCAGUUGGUGGUUCGCCACCGGCUAUUGCUGAGAAGUCCUCCAAACCGCCCCAUUUAGAGGAAGGAGAAGUCGUAACA